CGGUCUGUAGCUCAGUUGGUAGAGCAGCUGACUCUUAAUCAGCGGGUCAAGGGUUCGAGUCCCUUCAGACCGA
RNAcentral lists this transfer RNA (73 nucleotides) under Prolixibacteraceae bacterium. RNAcentral's name for it is "tRNA-Lys". It matches the Rfam family "tRNA". Rfam says of the family: Transfer RNA (tRNA) molecules are approximately 80 nucleotides in length. Their secondary structure includes four short double-helical elements and three loops (D, anti-codon, and T loops). Further hydrogen bonds mediate the characteristic L-shaped molecular structure. tRNAs have two regions of fundamental functional importance: the anti-codon, which is responsible for specific mRNA codon recognition, and the 3' end, to which the tRNAs corresponding amino acid is attached (by aminoacyl-tRNA synthetases). tRNAs cope with the degeneracy of the genetic code in two manners: having more than one tRNA (with a specific anti-codon) for a particular amino acid; and 'wobble' base-pairing, i.e. permitting non-standard base-pairing at the 3rd anti-codon position. The record is from RNAcentral. Lineage: Bacteria; Pseudomonadati; Bacteroidota; Bacteroidia; Marinilabiliales; Prolixibacteraceae.